Molecule: ribosomal RNA, 729 nt
Filed under: Candidatus Tremblayella phenacoccinincola
Lineage: Bacteria; Pseudomonadati; Pseudomonadota; Betaproteobacteria
Description: bacterial SSU rRNA
Rfam family: Bacterial small subunit ribosomal RNA
Source: RNAcentral
GGGAUAGAAUUCCAGGAGUAGCGGUGAAAUGCGUAGAUAUCUGGAGGAAUACCAAAGGCGAAGGCAGUCCCCUGGUCCGAUACUGACACUGAGGUACGAAAGCGUGGGGAGCAAACAGGAUUAGAUACCCUGGUAGUCCACGCCCUAAACGAUGUCGAUUAGCCAUUGGAAGGACCCCUUUUCCUUUCAGUGACGUAGCUAACGCGUUAAAUCGACCGCCUGGGAAGUACGACCGCAAGGUUAAAACUCAAAGGAAUUGACGGGGACCUGAACAAGCGGUGAAUGAUGUGGAUUAAUUCGAUGCUACGCGAAGAACCUUACCUACCUUUGACAUGGCCAAAGUUCUACCGAGAGGCGGAAGUACUCGUAAGAGGAUUGGCGCACAGGUGCUGCAUGGUUGUCGUCAGUUCGUGUCGUGAGAUGUUGGGUUCAGUCCCGCAACGAACGCAACCCUUAUCUUUAAUUGCUCCUAUUUUAACAGGCACUUUAAAGAAACUGCCAAUGAUAAGUUGGAGGAAGGUGGGGAUCACGUCAAGUCCGCAUGGCCUUUAUAGGUAGGGCUUCACACGUCAUACAAUGGUUAGAACAAAGAGCUGCAAAUUCGUAAGAAGGAGCCAAUCUCACAAACCUGACCUCAGUUCGAAUUGCGGUCUGCAACUCGAGCGCAUGAAGCCGGAAUCGCUAGUAAUCGUGGAUCAGAAUGCCACGGUGAAUACGUUCUUAGGUCUU